Molecule: long non-coding RNA, 2019 nt
Filed under: Solanum lycopersicum (tomato)
Lineage: Eukaryota; Viridiplantae; Streptophyta; Magnoliopsida; Solanales; Solanaceae
Description: partial TCONS_00085942
Source: RNAcentral
CAUUUUCCUUUUCCAAUAUUGGCUUCAAGAUGUUUUCUUACGACAGUCUCUAGAGCCUCACACUUCGCUGCCUCUUUUUGUGAAUCUAUUUCUUUUUUUAUCUCUUUUUCACCGUCUUUUACACCUCACAGAAAGGCAUUCACUACUGAGAAGUAAUCGAUUGUCCUUUCUUUUCCUUCUUUUCUUGUUCUUUCCUUGUCAUUUGACCUUCCUCUAUCGUUGAUUAGGAGGUAAUGUAUUGUCCACCAAUCUUUCACUUCACAAAGCAUCGCAACGUUCAAAAAGGAAAAAUAUCCGACCUUGUAAUUUGGAGCACGUGUGACCGGUCUACUGGUAGGCUACGACUUUCUUUCUAAUUUAAUUGUGCAUGAAUGUGUGAAUUCAUGAUGAUUAGUGUGAUAUCGGGGCGGGUAUCUACUUAUUCUUGCUUUCCUUCCUGAAGACCAUGUUUUAGGAUUCACUGCCAUUGUUUCGAGGGUAAUACAUCGUUAGUUAGGGUUGUAUGUGUGUUGUAGCAUGCUAUAUGAUUUACUUGUGUUAUUACUUAUUAUGUGAAGCAUGUCCCACCUUAGCUACUGAUAGACUAGUGAUGCCUUAGACCUAUGAGCCUUGUAGCUUUAUAUGUCUCCAACGUUUUUUUGGAUGGGUCAGGUCCUUGUAGACUAGAAUAGUAGACUUGGGUAUGAUAGUAUUCGCCUUAGUUUAAGUGUUUAUGUAGCUUGUUAUCCCUUUCUGUCUUCGUUCCCUAUUUCUGUGACUCCGAUGCAUUACAGAAGGUUGUGUGCUUUCUCGGGAUCGAAAAACCUUUGGUCUGGAGCCUUUUGUGAUAUCUUUGGGAGUGGAUGAUCCAUGGUGGCUUGGAGCCUACCUGAGAUCCUUUUUCAGAAUCGACAUGCCCCUGAGUCAUUUUUGCUAGUUGGGUGUCUUACUCCCUUGGGAGUGGACUGGCUAGCUGGGCGACCUUGAUAUUUGAGAUUUUCUAUAGUGUCGACACGCACCUAAGUCACUCUUACUAUCUAGGUGGCUUACACUCCUAGGAGUGGACUUUCUGGCUGGUCACAUGGUUUGAUUGUCACUAUCGCUAGCUGGGUUGGGAGUUGAAUGGUUCUUAGUUUCAUGGUUGUUUGGAUGGGAGUCGGACUGAUGUUCUUAGAUUCAGAUUUGAGUUACUCUUCAGUCUUGUAGUCUUAGCCAUUCUGUGUACCUCUCUAGGCUUAUUGAGUUCCAGUUAGGUUUAAUUGAGUUGUACUUAGAUCUACUUCAGUAUGCUCGUGUUCUUCUUCUUUUUCAUAUCUGCUCUGACCUCUAUUUGUGUCUAAUUGUUUUUGAAUGAUUUACCUUUCUUGCUUAGUUAGCCUAUGAUGCCUACUGAGUACCUUUGAUUUGGCACUUAUGCUACACCUUCAUCAUUCGUAACAGCUACGAGCGGUGAUCGUUUGUGCCAUCUUUUGCAACUUGUGGAUAUCUGAAACGAAUGUGAGCAUUUGGCGUCCUAGAUCAUUGUGUCUCCUUCUGUAUAUGUGUUUGUUAGUCUUUUGCCUUUAAGACGACUUGUUGUGGUCGAUUUUUGAGACUUGUAUUCGUUCAUACUAGAUAACUUUGUGCUUCUGACUUCCAAGUUCUGGAAGUGUUCCAUUGUAUAUAGUUUUUGGUUUGCUUCUGUAUCUGUAUUUUCUAUUGUUGGGGUUAUUUUCUAUUUAAUUCUACCCUUGCUCAUUGCUUGUCAUUCUAGGUAUGGGUCGACUUACCUACUAGUGGGUAAUAGUAAGUGACAUCAUGACUCAGGAAGUCGGGGUCAUGACAAGGAUAGAGCAUAAGCACCCCUGAAUUAUGACCAAAAUUCCAGCGACACAUCUUAACAUAAUUAGGAUCCUAUUACCCCUCCACCCAAAUAAAAAAAAUCAUUCUUCCAUAUUUUUGUUCAUUUCUUUUGUUGACAUGAUUCCUUAAACAAGAUAAGUUAAUUGUGUUUGUACAAACACCUACCACAUGUGUAAAUGUUAUUUUUUUUAAUUUAAU